UACGGAGGGUGCAAACGUUGCUCGGAAUCAUUGGGCGUAAAGCGCACGUAGGCGGACUGUUAAGUCGGAUGUGAAAUCCCUCAGCUUAACCGAGGAAGUGCACUCGAAACUGGCAGUCUUGAGUAUGGAAGAGGGUCGCGGAAUUCCCGGUGUAGAGGUGAAAUUCGUAGAUAUCGGGAGGAACACCAGUGGCGAAGGCGGCGACCUGGGCCAAUACUGACGCUGAGGUGCGAAAGCGUGGGGAGCAAACAGG
This 253-nucleotide ribosomal RNA is filed under the name uncultured bacterium. Its description in RNAcentral is "partial 16S ribosomal RNA". It matches the Rfam family "Bacterial small subunit ribosomal RNA", at positions 524 to 776 of the family's 1533-position model. The record is from RNAcentral.